Molecule: transfer RNA, 165 nt
Filed under: Anopheles darlingi
Lineage: Eukaryota; Metazoa; Arthropoda; Insecta; Diptera; Culicidae
Description: tRNA Tyrosine
Rfam family: tRNA
About the family: Transfer RNA (tRNA) molecules are approximately 80 nucleotides in length. Their secondary structure includes four short double-helical elements and three loops (D, anti-codon, and T loops). Further hydrogen bonds mediate the characteristic L-shaped molecular structure. tRNAs have two regions of fundamental functional importance: the anti-codon, which is responsible for specific mRNA codon recognition, and the 3' end, to which the tRNAs corresponding amino acid is attached (by aminoacyl-tRNA synthetases). tRNAs cope with the degeneracy of the genetic code in two manners: having more than one tRNA (with a specific anti-codon) for a particular amino acid; and 'wobble' base-pairing, i.e. permitting non-standard base-pairing at the 3rd anti-codon position.
Source: Rfam by way of RNAcentral
CCUUCGAUAGCUCAGUUGGUAGAGCGGUGGACUGUAGUACGACAUUUGCAGUUGCAGUUGUUGGGGUCGAUGAUCAUUAAUCGAUCACCGAUCAGUCUUCCUCUAGCAGCAACUUCAAAGCAAAUAGCUAUCCAUAGGUCACUGGUUCAAAUCCGGUUCGAAGGA